RNAcentral lists this ribosomal RNA (300 nucleotides) under Triticum aestivum (bread wheat). Its description in RNAcentral is "partial small subunit ribosomal RNA". The record is from RNAcentral. Lineage: Eukaryota; Viridiplantae; Streptophyta; Magnoliopsida; Poales; Poaceae.
AUGCCUGCACCUUCUUUUUUGAUUGAGCAGUUGUCUCGCUCUGGGAACUGCGAUGAUGACAAACUAGAAGUUGAGCAGAUCCCCAUGCCGCAGGGUCGGACCUCAGACACAGAUCCAAAUCUGGAGCAAGCACCCAACUGCACUUCAAGGAUGUCAGUGAAGCAAGUUGUCGCAGUUAUCAAGGAUUUUAGCGAGUACAAGAAGUGGCUUGUGACUGAGAUCGGUUUUGGAGAGGAUGUUGGAAAAGUUUUCGGCAUACCAUGUGGCAGCCAGAUGUCAAGGGCCGGGAUGCGGAUGUAA